AUUGAACGCUGGCGGCAGGCCUAACACAUGCAAGUCGAACGGUAACAGGAAGCAUCUUGCUGCUUUGCUGACGAGUGGCGGACGGGUGAGUAAUGUCUGGGAAACUGCCCGAUGGAGGGGGAUAACUACUGGAAACGGUAGCUAAUACCGCAUAACGUCGCAAGACCAAAGAGGGGGACCUUAGGGCCUCUUGCCAUCGGAUGUGCCCAGAUGGGAUUAGCUAGUAGGGGGGGUAACGGCUCACCUAGGCGACGAUCCCUAGCUGGUCUGAGAGGAUGACCAGCCACACUGGAACUGAGAAACGGUCCAGACUCCUACGGGAGGCAGCAGUGGGGAAUAUUGCACAAUGGGCGAAAGGCUGAUGCAGCAAUGCCGCGUGUAUGAAGAAGGACUUAGGGUUGUAAAGUAAUUUCAGCGGGGAGGAAGGGAGUAAAGUUAAUACCUUUGCUCAUUGACGUUACCCGCAGAAGAAGCACCGGCUAACUCCGUG
RNAcentral lists this ribosomal RNA (490 nucleotides) under uncultured bacterium. RNAcentral describes it as "partial 16S ribosomal RNA". It matches the Rfam family "Bacterial small subunit ribosomal RNA", at positions 30 to 507 of the family's 1533-position model. The record is from RNAcentral.